GCAUUAGUCGAUGCCUAGGUAGCUCAUUGGGAGAGCUCCUGUAUAUGUUUACCGAAAUCACCUAGCAACAAGUAUCAGGUUGUCGCAGGUUCGAAUCCUGCCCGAUGGCUA
Molecule: non-coding RNA, 111 nt
Organism: Meloidogyne enterolobii
Lineage: Eukaryota; Metazoa; Nematoda; Chromadorea; Rhabditida; Meloidogynidae
Source: the annotation of a GenBank genome assembly